GCUUGCAGCCAUACCACCCUGAGCACGCCCAAUUUCGUCUGAUCUCGGGAGCUAAGCACAGUUGGGCUUGGUAAAUAUUUAUAAAUAUCUAAAUAUUAUUGAUGGUU
Ribosomal RNA from Haplochromis burtoni (Burton's mouthbrooder), 107 nucleotides. NCBI's taxonomy places the organism in Eukaryota, Metazoa, Chordata, Actinopteri, Cichliformes, Cichlidae. The record is from Ensembl.